Molecule: ribosomal RNA, 808 nt
Filed under: uncultured organism
Description: bacterial SSU rRNA
Rfam family: Bacterial small subunit ribosomal RNA
Source: RNAcentral
CGGCAUGGCUAAGACAUGCAAGUCGAACGGACCAUAUAAUUGGGUAACCGAAAGUAUGGUUAGUGGCGAAAGGGUGAGGAAUAGAUAGGAACGUACCCUGUGCUCUGGGAUAGCGUCUGAAGCUUCGGCUUCUUCCGAAAGGGGCGGUAAUACCAGAUAAUGUCCUUCGGGACCAAAGAUUUAUCGGCAUUGGAGCGGCCUAUCUCCUAUCAGCUUGUUGGUGAGGUAACGGCUCACCAAGGCAACGACGGGUAGCGGGACUGAGAGGUUGGCCCGCCACAUCGGGACUGAGACACUGCCCGGACCUCCACGGAGGGCUGCAGUAACGGAUAUUGGGCAAUGGGCGAAAGCCUGACCCAGCAAUGCCGCGUGCAGGAUGAAGCCCCUAGGGGUGUAAACUGCUGUCAGGGGUCAGAAAGCUGGUUUCGGCCAGUUGAUCAACCCCAGAGGAAGUCACGGCUAACUUCGUGCCAGCAGCCGCGGUAAUACGAAGGUGGCAAGCGUUAUUCGGAAUCAUUGGGCUUAAAGGGCACGCAGGCGGAACAGUGUGUGUUGUGUGAAAUCCCCCGGCUUAACCGGGGAAUUGCACAGCAAACUGCUGUUCUUGAGGCAGGUAGGGGUGCAUGGAACUCUUGGUGGAGCGGUGGAAUGCGUAGAUAUCAAGAGGAACGCCAGAGGUGAAGACGGUGCACUGGGCCUGUCCUGACGCUGAGGUGCGAAAGCGUGGGGAGCGAACGGGAUUAGAUACCCCGGUAGUCCACGCCGUAAACGAAUGUCUACUANGUCGUGGGUGUUCUGACACAUUCAC